CUCCAAGUCCAAAUGCAGUAGCAGCAUUCGUGUUACGCGAACAAGUAGAAAUCAAAGUGCAAAGCUUGGUACUCAGCCCCUGCUCCACAGGCAGAAUGUAGGCUCUCCUGGGGAUCCCUCUGUCAUGCUUGUAUAGCUGCAUGCAGAAACCAGAGAGGGAUGAAGGUUGCAGAACUAAAAGGAUACCUGAAGGAGAAGCUUCCAUUUCUGUUUCAGGGUGCCAUCAACCUCAGCCUGCAGCCAGAGGAAAGUGCUCAGGAAAGUGUGUCUGAGCUCCCCACAGCCCUGUGAUGCAACUUGCUUGCUCAGCAACGAUGGGACAUCAACUGUCUAAUUGCACAGAGAUGACAGAGGAAGGAACCCAGGGCAAAAUUUCAACCAGCUGUGGCACCAGCCUCCAAGCACAAAGGAGGAAGGACUAGAUGUGCUGCUGAGUGGUCUUGGGGACGCGUGGGAAACUUUUUAUUUUGCUUCCAAUACUCUCCCUUAUCUCACCUGGAGUGAGCACAUGGCCACAUGGUGCUGAGCUGCUGCAAGGUUACACCACAACAGAUGGAGGACAUACACUCACACAUUUCUCCUGGACGCUUCCCCAGCACACAGAAGCACCAAUCUUGACAUUUCAACUUGUGCCACACCUGUGAUACUACUAUGGAUGCACCUCAAAAACCUCUCCCAUCCAGA
Molecule: long non-coding RNA, 684 nt
Organism: Gallus gallus (chicken)
Lineage: Eukaryota; Metazoa; Chordata; Aves; Galliformes; Phasianidae
Exons: 4
Source: RefSeq, a predicted model, not a curated record